AUGCGCUAUAAGAGCGCGUUCUCUUUCGGCGGAAGGCUCACCGACGGCAUCGUCUCCGCUGCUACCUCGCCGCCACCGCCCCUUCUCGCUGCUCCCGGUUCGGCGACCCUGCUCCUUUCUGCCGCAGCUUAAUCGCCGCUCUUCCGACUACUGUCACCGCCUCCCGGUAGGGACGCCCCGCCAGGCCGCCGCCGCUCCAGACAACCAGACCGCCGUCGUUUUUGCUGCGGUGGCUGCUCCUUUCCUCCCUUCUGCUCCGGGCCCUUUCCCCGCGAGCCUCCGUGCUUCCCGAGCUCGGUUCUCUCUGUCCCCCCCCAGCAAGCCCCAAGCGGCGGGCGGUUCACGUGGUAACUGAACAGGCCAAAGAGAGGAGGCGCCGCCAAAAUGGCCGCCACCGAGGGCUUCCCCAGCCGGGUCACCAGGCCGGGUGCGCAUGCGCCACGACCUCAUUUCCACCAGCCCUCCCUCUGCUGCUGUUGUCCGUAUAGACUUAAUCGCCCCUACAAGGGAUUUUUCAGUCCAUUUCGUUGCUGUUGCUGAAUCGGAUAGUGAAGAACACAUCACGGUAGACGCGGUUGCCCAUAGGUGGCGCCCUUCUCGCCUAAAACCACAUCUCCUGUGUAUUUUAAUAACCCGCCCGCCAUGCUGUUUGAUUGGUGCGUUUGCCUGUCGCUCCCAAAGCCAAGGAAGCGACCUACUGUACUGUAGAGGGGAAGUGAUUCAAGAUGGCGGUGCCCUUGCAGCUCGUGAGGCGGCGUUUGCUGUUGUCGCGACCUCUGAACCCAACAUUGUCUCGUUCCGCUUUCAUUGUAAGCCAAGAUGA
Molecule: long non-coding RNA, 823 nt
Filed under: Pogona vitticeps (central bearded dragon)
Lineage: Eukaryota; Metazoa; Chordata; Lepidosauria; Squamata; Agamidae
Description: lncRNA (ENSPVIG00000021502.1)
Source: RNAcentral